CUUGCAAACUGGAGAUGGCGACCGGCGCACGGGUGAGUAACACGUAUCCAACCUGCCGAUAACUCGGGGAUGGCCUUUCGAAAGAAAGAUUAAUACCCGAUGGCAUAAUAGAACCGCAUGGUUUGAUUAUUAAAGAAUUUCGGUUAUCGAUGGGGAUGCGUUCCAUUAGGCAGUUGGUGGGGUAACGGCCCACCAAACCUUCGAUGGAUAGGGGUUCUGAGAGGAAGGUCCCCCACAUUGGAACUGAGACACGGUCCAAACUCCUACGGGAGGCAGCAUG
This 280-nucleotide ribosomal RNA is filed under the name uncultured bacterium. RNAcentral's name for it is "partial 16S ribosomal RNA". It matches the Rfam family "Bacterial small subunit ribosomal RNA", at positions 75 to 353 of the family's 1533-position model. The record is from RNAcentral.